RNAcentral lists this transfer RNA (70 nucleotides) under Dipodomys ordii (Ord's kangaroo rat). It matches the Rfam family "tRNA". Rfam says of the family: Transfer RNA (tRNA) molecules are approximately 80 nucleotides in length. Their secondary structure includes four short double-helical elements and three loops (D, anti-codon, and T loops). Further hydrogen bonds mediate the characteristic L-shaped molecular structure. tRNAs have two regions of fundamental functional importance: the anti-codon, which is responsible for specific mRNA codon recognition, and the 3' end, to which the tRNAs corresponding amino acid is attached (by aminoacyl-tRNA synthetases). tRNAs cope with the degeneracy of the genetic code in two manners: having more than one tRNA (with a specific anti-codon) for a particular amino acid; and 'wobble' base-pairing, i.e. permitting non-standard base-pairing at the 3rd anti-codon position. Lineage: Eukaryota; Metazoa; Chordata; Mammalia; Rodentia; Heteromyidae. The record is from Rfam by way of RNAcentral.
GAGAAUGUGGCUCAGUGGUAGAGUGUUUGCCUAGCAUGUAGGAAGCCCUGGGUUCAAUUCCUCAGUAUCA